Molecule: long non-coding RNA, 706 nt
Filed under: Physcomitrium patens
Lineage: Eukaryota; Viridiplantae; Streptophyta; Bryopsida; Funariales; Funariaceae
Description: long non-coding RNA (PPAT_LNC003299)
Source: RNAcentral
CUAGUUGAGAGUUUGUUCUAAUUCACAACAAUUUGAUUUGCUAUUUAUUCUAGAUAUUCUUCCUUAGUGUUUGAUUUAUGUCUAAUAACUUCAAGAAUUCUUCAAUUGUAGUCUAAAACAAACCACUCUAAUAAGUGACUUAUUCCAAUUUAUAACUAUUAACUAACUUCCAACUUGAUUACUCAAGUUGUCUUCUACUUCAUUAUUCACUUAACUAAUAAAAACCACUUCCAUCCAACCAUCAAAACAAUACAAGGCACUCAAAUAACUCAACAAAACCCACACUUGAAGGAUAAUUUGUUAUAUGAUUUAAUUUAAGAUCUUACAACUUUUAUUUUUAUUUUUAUCUAGUAUUAACUUUCAUUCAAUUCUAGAAUUUUAUCCAAGGCAUUUUCAUCCGUGAAUAACUUAUCAGCUGUGAAUGAAUAUUUAUCUAAGAAGGAUUUUCAUCCAAUAAAAUAAUUCUUCAUCUACGAAUUUCAUCCAUUAAAUCCAAACUUCAUCCAUUCAAUGUUCAUCCAUUGCAGAUUUUGACAUCCACUAUAAUUUCAUUCAAUUACAAAAUUCUCUCCUACUUAAUCAGUUGUUUUGAAUUUCUCACGCAAAAUUAGUACCCGUUGAAGAAGAAUCCAGCAUCUUAUUUUGCAGCACCCAGCCGCUCUUGAUCCCACCAGUGAGGCAGCUGGCUAUUAAUUUCCAACGACUA